UACGAGGGGGGCAAAUGUUGUUCGGAAUCACUGGGCGUAAAGGGAGCGUAGGCGGGUUCUUAAGUUAGGUGUUUAAUCCCGGGGCCCAACCCCGGACCGGCACUUAAAACUGGGAAUCUUGAAUAGUGGAGAGGUCAGUGGAAUUGGAGGUGUAGCGGUGGAAUGCGUAGAGAUCUCCAAGAACACCAGUUGCGAAGGCGGCUGACUGGACACAUAUUGACGCUGAGGCUCGAAAGCAUGGGGAGCAAACAGG
RNAcentral lists this ribosomal RNA (253 nucleotides) under uncultured bacterium. RNAcentral describes it as "partial 16S ribosomal RNA". It matches the Rfam family "Bacterial small subunit ribosomal RNA", at positions 524 to 776 of the family's 1533-position model. The record is from RNAcentral.